This 301-nucleotide ribosomal RNA is filed under the name Pelobates cultripes (western spadefoot toad). RNAcentral describes it as "SSU_rRNA_microsporidia". It matches the Rfam family "Eukaryotic small subunit ribosomal RNA", at positions 139 to 470 of the family's 1831-position model. Lineage: Eukaryota; Metazoa; Chordata; Amphibia; Anura; Pelobatidae. The record is from RNAcentral.
UAGGUUAGCCCCCAAAAUAUUGGGACAUAUAAAAAAGCCAACUCUGUUCUGCAGAGUAGCUGUUGACGUUAUAGUUGAGCAGACACUUUGUUGACUCUAGAGAACCUCGGGCCAAUCGCACAUCCCCGUGGCGGCGACUUUGCAUGCGGAUGUCAUCCAUAUCAACUUUCGAUGCCAGUUUCUGCGCCUGACCACGGGUAAUGGGGAAUCAGGGUUCCAUUUCAUACAGGGACCCUGAGAAACGGGUACCACAUGCAAGCAGGCGCGCAAAUGACCCACUCUCGAUUCGGGAAGGUAGUGA